AUUGAACGCUAGCGGGAUGCUUUACACAUGCAAGUCGAACGAGUGGCGGCCGGGUGAGUAAUAUAUCGGAACUUGCCCAGUAGCGGGGUAUAACUCCUCGACAGAGUGGCUAACACCGCAAACUAUUGGCGCGGCCGAUAUCGGAUUGUCUAGUUGGUGGGUUAAAGGCUCACCAAGGCCACGAGCCGUAGCUGGUUUGAGAGGACGACCAGCCACACUGGGACUGAGACACGGCCCAGACCCCGACGGGAGGCAGCAGUGGGGAAUUUUGGACAAUGGGGGAAACCCUGAGCCAGCCAUCCCGCGUGUAUGAGAAGGCGGUCGGGUUGUAAAGUAAUUUUGGCAGAGAAGCGGUAUCGGCAGAAUAAGCACCGGCUAACGACGUGCCAGCAGCCGCGGUAAUAC
RNAcentral lists this ribosomal RNA (405 nucleotides) under uncultured bacterium. Its description in RNAcentral is "partial 16S ribosomal RNA". It matches the Rfam family "Bacterial small subunit ribosomal RNA", at positions 30 to 526 of the family's 1533-position model. The record is from RNAcentral.